UCCAUUUUGGCCGCGCAGGGGGAGACUCGACGAGAACCUGCGGAGUAGGGGAGUGGAGUCAGCAGAACUGUGAGGGCCGAAUCGGCUCACCGCACUUUCUCCCUUUCUUCCUCCGCCCGCAGAAGCCGGGGGCUCUCAUGGCGGGCUUGGAGGUACUGUUCGCGUCGGCGGCGCCGGCCAUCACCUGCGCGCAGGACGCGCUCGUCUGCUUCCUGCACUGGGAGGUGGUCACGCAUGGCUACUACGGCUUGGGUGCCGGCGACCAGCCGGGUCCCAAUGAUAAGAAAUCAGAACUGCUGCCAGCGGAAUGGAACAACAAUAAAGACCUGUAUGUCCUCCGGUAUGAGUCAAAGGAUGGGUCCAGAAAGCUCCUUGUGAAGGCUGUCACUGUGGAGAACAGCAUGAUCAUCAAUGUGCUGGAACAUGGCUCACAGCAAGUGUCAGACUUGACCCUGAACUUGAAUGAUUAUAUCGAUUCAGAUCACCUGGUUGACUUCCACAGGGUCUACAAGAAGAGUGAGGAACUUCGGUCUCGUCUUGUGUCUGGGAUCAUCACACCUAUCCAUGAACAUUGGGUCAAGGCUAGCGAAAGUCCCCAACAGGAGUUUCCCCCUGCCACUGCCAGAGAGAUUGACCCACUCCGGAUUCACCCACACCACCCACAUACCAGCCGGCAGCCUCCCUGGCAUGUGGACACAGGCACUGUCAGGGGAAGUACAUGGCAGAGCAAGGUAAGCAAUGUCCCAGCUUUCUGGCCAGAGGACCAAAAGAGGAGCCCCAGGGAACUGGAAGGUAUCAAGGAGAUAGAUCACAGAAACGGAAGAGUUCAGAAAGCAACUCCAUAAACUUAUGGACUCCAGGCCUUACCUGCAAACUGUACAUAAGUGGAUCUGAUUGUAAAUAGCACACCAAAGACUUUGAGAACAGAACUACAGGAUACCCCACUGCCAGGUCUCAGACUGACCACUGGUUAGCACAUACGUGGUACACAACUGGAUAGCACUGCAAAGGCUUUCCAAACAGAACUGACAUUGAAACCUGAACUUGGAUCCCAAACCCAGCUGGGUCGAUUGCCUGCUAAGACAAAAAUACCAGGAUUCUCCCCAAACCUCAUGACAAAAUGUUCAAAAUUAUUGGGCAUACAAAGAAUCAAGAAAAUUUCAGCUCACAAAAAGACAAUCAACAGAUGCCAAUAUGCCAAUGUGAUGCAAAUGUUGGAAUAAUUAUGUGACAGAGAUAUAAAGCAGCUAUUAUAAAAAUGCUUAGAGAAGUGAGGGCAGUCUAGAAACAAAUGGAAUGAUAGAAAAUCUCAGCAAAGAAACAAGGUACAAAAAAGAACCCAAUGGAAAUUUUAGAACUGAAAAGUAAUAAUGCAGUAAUCAAAAUAAUUUCACUGGAUGAAUCAGUAGCAGAAUAGAGAUAACAGAGGAGAGAUUAAAUGCUUGAAAUAAAUCAGUAGAAAUCAUCUGAACAAUAGAGAGAAAAAAUAUUUUAAAAUAAAGUUUCAGGAACCUGUGGGACAAUUAUAAAAGAGCUGACAUUGCGGUCAUGAAAGUCUUAGGAGGAGAGGAGAAAGAGUGAAGUACAGAAAAAUUAUUUGAAGAAGAUAAUGGCUGAAAACUUCUCAGAUUUGGCAAAAGACAUAAACCUACAGAUUUAAAAAGCUCAGCAAAUCCUAAGUAGGAUAAACCCAAAGAAGUCCAUGCUCAAACAUAAUCAAAUUGCUAAAAAUGAAAGUCAUGAAAGCAACUAGAGAAAAAAACACAUUGCUUAUAGAGGAAUAAGAAUUUGAAUGAUUAUGGAUUUCUCAUCAGAAUACAUGGAAACCAGAAAUAAGUAGACCACCAUUCUUAAAGUAUGGAGAAAAAAGGAUUGUCAGACCCAGAAUUCUAUGUCCAGCAAAUACAUCAUCUUUAUUUCUGAAGGAUUUUAAGAUAUUCUUAGUAAAAGGAUACGAAGAGAAUUCAUAGUCAACAGAUCUUCUCAGAAGGAAUUGCUAACGAAAGUUCUCAGACAGAAGGGAAGGGAUACCAGAUAGACACUUGGAACAUCAGGAAUAAAGGAAGAGCAAUAAGAAUGGUGUGAUCCCCUGGGCCCAUUUGCUGUCGGGGGAGAGGACCUAGACCCCUUUGGGUGUCGGAGAGGUGGCAUGAUCGUGGAUCCCCUGAGAUCCGGCUUCCCAAGAGCACUUAUUGACCCAUCAUCGGGCCUCCCAAACCGGCUUCCUCCAGGCGCUGUGCCCCCAGGAGCACGCUUUGACCCCUUUGGAC
This is an RNA transcript of Orcinus orca (killer whale), 2270 nucleotides long. It is a transcript of the gene named proteasome inhibitor subunit 1, with no coding region annotated. The record is from RefSeq and is a predicted model, not a curated record. The transcript is spliced from 7 exons. NCBI's taxonomy places the organism in Eukaryota, Metazoa, Chordata, Mammalia, Artiodactyla, Delphinidae.